This 335-nucleotide unclassified non-coding RNA is filed under the name soil metagenome. RNAcentral describes it as "partial contains 5.8S ribosomal RNA, internal transcribed spacer 2, and large subunit ribosomal RNA". The stretch from base 1 to 120 matches the Rfam family "5.8S ribosomal RNA", at positions 35 to 154 of the family's 154-position model. The record is from RNAcentral.
GAUGAAGAACGUAGCGAAAUGCGAUAAGUAAUGUGAAUUGCAGAAUUCAGUGAAUCAUCGAAUCUUUGAACGCACAUUGCGCCAGCCAGUAUUCUGGCGGGCAUGCCUGUUCGAGCGUCAUUUCAACCAUCAAGCCCCCGGCUUGUGUUGGGGACCUGCGGCUGCCGCAGGCCCUGAAAACCAGUGGCGGGCUCGCUAGUCACUCCGAGCGUAGUAAUACAUCUCGCUCAGGGCGUGCUGCGGGUUCCGGCCGUUAAAAAGCCUUAUUUACCCAAGGUUGACCUCGGAUCAGGUAGGAAGACCCGCUGAACUUAAGCAUAUCAAUAAGCGGAGGA